RNAcentral lists this unclassified non-coding RNA (345 nucleotides) under Hevea brasiliensis (rubber tree). Lineage: Eukaryota; Viridiplantae; Streptophyta; Magnoliopsida; Malpighiales; Euphorbiaceae. The record is from RNAcentral.
GCCACAUUGAAAUGGAACUAGAAAGUUCCCAACUAAAUGAUAAAGGUAAGUGCCAACUACCAUGGAAAGCCAAAUCAGGGGAAAGCAAAAAUAAAAUUUUAUCUAAUUUUCCGUGUUCAAAUCCCCAAUCCCACUCUGCCUCCUUAGUGGCAGAUUGAAUAACUGCUAUUCACCAAAAUUGAAUAGAUCACAACUUGCCAACAUUUUUUUUAAAGUCGACUUGAUAAUAGCUAUUACAAAGUAAGAGAAUCUCUUUCUAUGACUAUCAAUAAGUCAAACGAAUAUUUGGUAUAAUGGACAGAAUUUUGAGAAUGCUUUUAAUGGUUAUAAAUUUUUAGAUAUUUU